RNAcentral lists this ribosomal RNA (252 nucleotides) under uncultured bacterium. RNAcentral describes it as "partial 16S ribosomal RNA". It matches the Rfam family "Bacterial small subunit ribosomal RNA", at positions 524 to 776 of the family's 1533-position model. The record is from RNAcentral.
UACGUAGGUCCCGAGCGUUGUCCGGAUUUAUUGGGCGUAAAGCGAGCGCAGGUGGUUUAUUAAGUCUGGUGUAAAAGGCAGUGGCUCAACCAUUGUAUGCAUUGUAAACUGGUAGACUUGAGUGCAGGAGAGGAGAGUGGAAUUCCAUGUGUAGCGGUGAAAUGCGUAGAUAUAUGGAGGAACACCGGUGGCGAAAGCGGCUCUCUGGCCUGUAACUGACACUGAGGCUCGAAAGCGUGGGGAGCAAACAGG